UCUCUCGGGCAAGACCUCCUACUUCCACCUGCUCACCUGGUCACUCCCCUUUGUCCUCACUGUGGCAAUCCUUGCUGUGGCGCAGGUGGAUGGGGACUCUGUGAGUGGCAUUUGUUUUGUGGGCUACAAGAACUACCGAUACCGUGCGGGCUUCGUGCUGGCCCCAAUCGGCCUGGUGCUCAUCGUGGGAGGCUACUUCCUCAUCCGAGGAGUCAUGACUCUGUUCUCCAUCAAGAGCAACCACCCCGGGCUGCUGAGUGAGAAGGCUGCCAGCAAGAUCAACGAGACCAUGCUGCGCCUGGGUGAGUGGCCCCGGGGGACUUCGGUCUGAGGUCCUGGCCAGCCCAACACUGCACCCUCCUGGGGCUAUGCGACCGGCAGGAUGCAGUAAGUCAGUGGGACAAGUUAGCCAUGGGGACAAGGACAAGGGGUGUGUGUAGGUGGUAGUGGUAGUGGCAGCUCAAAAGAAGGGGGUCUACUCGGGGGGAAGAAUUCAGUCAAGUUCAUGCCGGGACUGGUUCCUCCUGCCCACUACGUCCCACGUGAUCCUUCCCACAGUUGCUUCAAGUGCCCUUCUUAUUUUAUUUUAGAGAAAGCAGUUCUUGGACUGAGCCCAGCAUGAGUUCACCCCAGCCCCAGCUGAGUGAACUUUGAGGCCCAGUGGGGCAGACUCUCUCCUCCCCACUGCUGCUGCGGGACUGGGCUUGGUAACGUCCUGUCCUGCCCCUGUCC
This 732-nucleotide small RNA is filed under the name Pan troglodytes (chimpanzee). RNAcentral describes it as "retained intron". The record is from RNAcentral. Lineage: Eukaryota; Metazoa; Chordata; Mammalia; Primates; Hominidae.